UUUCUUAGGGCAUUUAUACCAGAAUAUGGAAGGGUGCGGUGGGGCCCUGAACGUUUGUAACAUCUUUAGAUCUUUGCCAUAUAUUAUUAGGCUGAUCAUUCCCCUUCAUAUUUUUCUAAAGUUAUUUUGCUAUUAAGCUAAUUUCACUUGAACUUUGACAACUUGAUAUUCCCACCCUUGGAGUUAGUUACAUGUUAAAAGAAAAAAUAAACUCUAUUUUUAGGAAAGACAAAAAUUGUAUUUCAAAUAGGAUCAGGACCCUUUAGCUUCAAAAUAACACAAUAUUUCAAAAUAAUUUCUAUAGGGCUUUACAGUUUGCAAAAAUGUUUUCAUAUGUUUGAUUUUUUUUUUACAUAACUGGGUUACAUUCUUCAUGACAUUAAUCUGAUAGAAUAGUGUUUAAAAACACUAUACUAGAUUAGACUUCAAAGAGAAUAAUAUACCGAAGC
RNAcentral lists this long non-coding RNA (449 nucleotides) under Bos taurus (domestic cattle). Its description in RNAcentral is "long non-coding RNA NONBTAT007068". The record is from RNAcentral. Lineage: Eukaryota; Metazoa; Chordata; Mammalia; Artiodactyla; Bovidae.